This 65-nucleotide transfer RNA is filed under the name Cichlidogyrus halli. Its description in RNAcentral is "tRNA-Thr". The record is from RNAcentral. Lineage: Eukaryota; Metazoa; Platyhelminthes; Monogenea; Dactylogyridea; Ancyrocephalidae.
GCUUGUAUAGUUUAAUUUAAAACAGUACUUUUGUAAAGUACAGAUGGCUGUUGGGCCUAUUCGCU